AGACGUCUACAUUAGAUACCCCCGUAGUCCCAGCCGUAAACUAUGCGCGUUAGGUGUAUCGGUGACCACGAGUUACCGAGGUGCCGAAGGGAAACCGUGAAACGUGCCGCCUGGGAAGUACGGUCGCAAGGCUGAAACUUAAAGGAAUUGGCGGGGAGCACCACAACGGGUGGAGCCUGCGGUUUAAUUGGACUCAACGCCGGAAAUCUCACCGGAUAGGACAGACAUAUGAUAGUCGGGCUGAAGACUCUACUUGAUGAUCUG
Molecule: ribosomal RNA, 264 nt
Filed under: uncultured archaeon
Lineage: Archaea
Description: partial 16S ribosomal RNA
Rfam family: Archaeal small subunit ribosomal RNA
Source: RNAcentral